AACGAACGCUGGCGGCGUACUUAACACAUGCAAGUCGGACGAGAAAGGAGACUUCGGUCUCUGAGUAAAGUGGCGUACGGGUGCGUAACACGUAAGUAAUCUACCCCGAACUCUGGGAUAACCCUCCGAAAGGAGGGCUAAUACCAGAUAGGGUCCCCGAGGUGUAGGCUGCGGGGGGAAAACGGGCCUCUGCUUCAUGCUCGUGGUUCGGGAUGAGCUUGCGGCCCAUUAGCUUGUUGGUAGGGUAAUGGCUUACCAAGGCGACGAUGGGUAGCUGGUCUGAGAGGAUGAUCAGCCACACUGGCACUGAGACACGGGCCAGACUCCUACGGGAGGCAGCAGUGGGGAAUUUUGCGCAAUGGGCGAAAGCCUGACGCAGUAACGCCGUGUGGAGGAUGAAGGCCUUCGGGUUGUAAACUCCUGUCAGGGGGAACGACGGAGAAAGGGUGAUAAACUCUUUCCUUCAGACGGUACCUCCAAAGGAAGCCCCGGCUAAUUCCGUGC
This 504-nucleotide ribosomal RNA is filed under the name uncultured bacterium. Its description in RNAcentral is "bacterial SSU rRNA". It matches the Rfam family "Bacterial small subunit ribosomal RNA", at positions 29 to 508 of the family's 1533-position model. The record is from RNAcentral.